This 571-nucleotide small RNA is filed under the name Pan troglodytes (chimpanzee). RNAcentral describes it as "retained intron". Lineage: Eukaryota; Metazoa; Chordata; Mammalia; Primates; Hominidae. The record is from RNAcentral.
GCUGAUGGCCUCCUCACUCUACCUACACACGUGCAGGAGGCCUGUGGGACUGACUGCCUCCUCGUCCUUUCCUCCCCAGCCACCUGCGGCCUGAGACAGUACAGCCAGCCUCAGUUUCGCAUCAAAGGAGGGCUCUUCGCCGACAUCGCCUCCCACCCCUGGCAGGCUGCCAUCUUUGCCAAGCACAGGAGGUCGCCCGGAGAGCGGUUCCUGUGCGGGGGCAUACUCAUCAGCUCCUGCUGGAUUCUCUCUGCCGCCCACUGCUUCCAGGAGAGGUUUCCGCCCCACCACCUGACGGUGAUCUUGGGCAGAACAUACCGGGUGGUCCCUGGCGAGGAGGAGCAGAAAUUUGAAGUAGAAAAAUACAUUGUCCAUAAGGAAUUCGAUGAUGACACUUACGACAAUGACAUUGGUAAGAGCUCGUCAUUCCCGGCUCCAGUUCAUACAGAUCACACAACACACCCACAUGCACUCACCUAUGUUUACACACACGGGCCUCCUCCUCCAGCCCCUGCCCCUCCUGCGUGUUCCUCCCCUCCCGGGGACGAGGCCCUCACGCCAGCUCACUCCU